This 234-nucleotide long non-coding RNA is filed under the name Olea europaea (common olive). RNAcentral describes it as "long non-coding RNA (OEUR_LNC012314)". The record is from RNAcentral. Lineage: Eukaryota; Viridiplantae; Streptophyta; Magnoliopsida; Lamiales; Oleaceae.
UCCAUUGAUAUCAUUUAUCUCUCAAGCCUAGGCUGUUUGAGGUAUGGGUCAUCGACCACAUGCGUAACCUUCACCUUUCUUGAUCCUUCACAAUCCUCAGGGUGGAUCACCCUAUCAACCUGAUGUCGGGUUCCCCGACCUUCCUAUUUAGCCAUCCAAAGACAGCCACAAUUGUUGGGAUCUUCGACUCCUCAACCUUCUUCCCGAGGCUCCCUAGUAAGGCUCCUGUGUCCU